Molecule: ribosomal RNA, 231 nt
Filed under: uncultured bacterium
Lineage: Bacteria
Description: partial 16S ribosomal RNA
Rfam family: Bacterial small subunit ribosomal RNA
Source: RNAcentral
UGAGUAAUGGGUAGGAACGUACCUUUUGGUGGGGAAUAACUCCGAGAAAUCGAAGCUAAUACCGCGUAAGGACGCAAGUCGAAAGAGGGCCUCUAUUUAUAAGCUCUUGCCAAAAGAUCGGCCUAUCUUCCAAUAGCUAGUUGGUAGGGUAAAGGCCUACCAAGGCGACGAUGGAUAGCUGGUUUGAGAGGAUGAUCAGCCACACUGGAACUGAGACACGGUCCAGACUCC